Non-coding RNA from Pelodiscus sinensis (Chinese soft-shelled turtle), 1849 nucleotides. The record is from RefSeq and is a predicted model, not a curated record. NCBI's taxonomy places the organism in Eukaryota, Metazoa, Chordata, Testudines, Trionychidae.
GGGGUGGGAGAUCGCUGGUGAGCCAAGAGAAGAGAGAGAAUUAAAAGCAGAACAAGGUGGAAGUAAAGGACAAUAAAGAAGGUGGGACGCAGGAACCAGUGCUGGCGACAGAGAUUGGCACGGGACCAUGCUCUCUCAGAGCAUGGCGUGGAGCUCAGAAGUCCUGGUCGUUUGGCUGCUGCUCCAGACACCAGAGUGCACACCCAAGAGGAUUGGCACCCAGCUCCCUUCUGCUCCGACCAUUGGACCACCCUGCCCUUCUACAGCUGGGUACAGAACCCAGGUUUCCUGACUGUACUGCUUCCCUAAACACGUGCUCCUUAGCUGUGCACCUUCUACAGAAGAGCCCUUUGAAGAGGUGGGGAUGGUCCGUUCCAUGCUUUUGCAGGCAGUUGUACCGCUGCAUGCGGUGUGGUCACUGAGAAGUAGACAGAGAUCUAGCAUUGGAGAAACAGCCCGACGCUAAGGACUGGCCACUCCUAAGAGUGAUUGGUUGCGUGCGGGUGUCUACAUGGCAUGUGUGUGUCUCCAUCCAGCCUGGAACAGGCCCCUAAAGUCCUUUCAUUAAGAACCGCCAAUGCAAGUGGAGAUGUCUCAGUGCCAGAGGGCUCAGAGAGGAUACCCUGGGGGAGCCAUGUUGGGAGGUAGGGGACCGACCUUCUGCUUUGGACACCUACCCGCAUGGCCUGGGUUAAUGGCCAUUCAUUAUUUAGAAGAUCCUGGGUGUGGAUUCCCUGAAGUGCUACUGUCAGUCCCUGACUGUGUUCAUCAAAGGUGACCAGGGCCCCGCAAAAUGGUCAUCUGCCCCUGGUAAUGAGAUCACAACAGUCCUUCAUUGCAGGCCAUUCUCCUCCCUCGCUUCAGUCAACAGCCUGAGAGCAACACUUUGCCGGGUCAAGGGGACAUGGAGCACUAACUACAGCCCUUCUACAAUCCCUGGAUGAGGUGAAAGGCCUAAUGUAAAGGACGUACAGUGCUGGGGGACAAUGUUCCCUCUAAUCUUUCUCAUCCAUGUGCAAGAUAAAUUUUUCUAGGUGCACCCAGGCAUGUGUGAAUGUGCACCACCAGUAGAAACAAAACCCUAGCUGUGGGCACUUUAAAUCAGCUGGGAGGCAUUUGACUCUCCUGAGUAGCCGCCCAAGCACACAACUUACAGGGAGCCCUGCUGGGAAAUCUGGGUACCGUGCAGCAGGCUGAGAGCCGGGGCCACGUUGGGGUUGAUUUGUGCAGGGACACCUAAUCAACCCCAUUCCCUCCUGUCCCACAGAGUUAUGCAGGAUAUACCUCUGCAGUGGCAUGCGUUCCCUCCUCCGCUUGAACCUUGUGUCUGCUGCUACGCAGGCAUUUCAGGAGCUGAUCUUCACAAGCAGCCCCUGGUUUAUGGCAGUUUGGUGGCCAGUCCUUCUCGAGCCACAGCGAGAACGGAAGCGGAACAGGCACUUUCUGGAGGGCUCUGAUAGUUGAUGCUUGAACAGCUAACGUGGGCUAAACACGCCAUGAACUUGAAGCAGGGGUCUGCUUUAAAGCCAGAGCCGUGCUGUCCGUGCAGAGUCGGUGAUUACGGCACAGAAGUCUCCAGGAGUCCCAGAGGUUGGGACAAGAGCAGAAUGUGGUGAGACAGGAAUGGGGCAAGUCAGGCAUCCUCGGUCAUAGGCUGCGAGUGUUAGUGGGAGAGUGGACGGGGCACACAACACUUUGGAGAGGAUUCUUAUUCUUGUGAAGGGAAACUGUGGCAAUCUUGACUUACCUGUCGGCCCGUGUUUUACUCCCCCUGAAUGGCCGAGACCCCUAGAACCAUAGAGCUGGAAGAGACCUCAGAAGGUCAAGUCCAGCCCCCUGCCCAAGGCAG